AUUGAAGUAGAAAUUUAAAAGGAAAGAAAGAGAGAAUAGUGUCUUAUUAAGCUAAUGUUCAAAAUGUUACGCAUAGAGCAUGUAACAUUUGAUAAAUCUCCAACCAGACGUCCUCAAAUUCCUCACUCUUCCACACAAAAUCAACAAUACAAAGAGCUUAACAAAAUAAAUACACAAAUAAGUAAAUUAUUUGUAAUCUACAACAAUAUGAAAGCAAAUUAAAAUGACCAAAUUAAAUUUAGAACAAAAGUGCUACACUCCCAAGAAUUGCUACCAUAGCCAUGCUACUAAUUCCAUGAACAAAACCAUUAGACGGAGGAGGAGCCAUUCCACCAUUCAUAGGUCCCGGUGCAGCUGGCUCUGAUCCCACGGGUUCCAUUCCGGGUGCCAUAGGAGCUGGUGGUGCCAUAUUGGUGGUGGUGACAUGGUGGCCAUUGGUGGUGGUGACAUGGCGGCCAUUGGUGGUGGUGACAUGGCGGCCAUUGGUGGAGGAGUGGUAGUCAUUGGUGGCAUUGCCAUGGUAGAUGGUGGCAUUGUGGGGGCCAUCAUAGGAGAUUGAGCAGCAGAAAGAGCUACAAAUGUAAGGAAAAGGGAGAGAAAGAUCAUGGGACGUGAGAGAGCCAUGACUACUGAUGAUGACUCUCUUAGGAUUUGUUUCUUUUAAGAAAUAGAGGAGAGAAUUC
RNAcentral lists this long non-coding RNA (683 nucleotides) under Nicotiana tabacum (common tobacco). RNAcentral's name for it is "long non-coding RNA (NTAB_LNC003367)". The record is from RNAcentral. Lineage: Eukaryota; Viridiplantae; Streptophyta; Magnoliopsida; Solanales; Solanaceae.